This 386-nucleotide ribosomal RNA is filed under the name uncultured Sphingomonadaceae bacterium. RNAcentral describes it as "partial 16S ribosomal RNA". It matches the Rfam family "Bacterial small subunit ribosomal RNA", at positions 338 to 741 of the family's 1533-position model. Lineage: Bacteria; Pseudomonadati; Pseudomonadota; Alphaproteobacteria; Sphingomonadales; Sphingomonadaceae. The record is from RNAcentral.
CCUACGGGAGGCAUCAGUGGGGAAUAUUGGACAAUGGGCGAAAGCCUGAUCCAGCAAUGCCGCGUGAGUGAUGAAGGCCUUAGGGUUGUAAAGCUCUUUUACCCGGGAUGAUAAUGACAGUACCGGGAGAAUAAGCUCCGGCUAACUCCGUGCCAGCAGCCGCGGUAAUACGGAGGGAGCUAGCGUUAUUCGGAAUUACUGGGCGUAAAGCGCACGUAGGCGGCUUUGUAAGUUAGAGGUGAAAGCCUGGAGCUCAACUCCAGAAUUGCCUUUAAGACUGCACCGCUUGAAUCCAGGAGAGGUGAGUGGAAUUCCGAGUGUAGAGGUAAAAUUCGUAGAUAUUCGGAAGAACACCGGUGGCGAGGGCGGCUCACUGGACUGGUAUU